Camellia sinensis is the source of this 5538-nucleotide non-coding RNA. NCBI's taxonomy places the organism in Eukaryota, Viridiplantae, Streptophyta, Magnoliopsida, Ericales, Theaceae. The record is from RefSeq and is a predicted model, not a curated record.
CGCAUCUUCACAUUGUUCAUCUGUCUGAUGCGAGAUCUUCCUUAGAUCUAAUUAAGGAAGCAAAAAGUGGUGAUAGCAAUGGUGAUAGCACAACUAUUGGAUUUGGAGCAUUACCACAUCAAAAGUCGUUGCACAGGUCCUCAAGAUGGCGGUUACAGAUGCUGGCCACCAGGUCGUGGGCUCGUUUCUCUCGGAAAGUUUACAACAGCAAUUUAGCAAGCGUCUAGCAUCGGUCAUGAGGAUUCUUAACGUUAUGCAGGCAUCUACGCUUGACUAUCAGUUCAUCAUUCUGCCCCUUCUGAAGUCAUUCAUGCGGGAACUAUUUGAGGUUUUGGUCGACAAAGACACAAAGAAGAAGGCAGAUGCUGCAAGAGAAGCACUUUUAUCAGAGAUUGAACUGGAAGCCAAGAAGAAGAAAGAUUUUGAGUCCAAGAAAAAGAAUAAAAAUCAGAGAAAGAAUAAGGAUCCAAAGGUUACUCAAGGUGAUGACCUGUAUGUACCGCAAGAGGAAACUGAAGAACAAGUUCACUUUCCUGUUAGCUACAAUGGUGAUUAUCCUAGUUCUGUGAUUGUUGUUGCUGCAAGAGCUGAUGAAUUGGGGCUACAGGAAGAGGAACUUAAGCAUGAAAUUGAGCAUGAUGUGGAGGAAAGAAAGCUUGAAGAGAAGUUGGAGUAUCAAAGGCAGAUUGCGGAUGAGGAUAAGCAUACAAAUCUAGCCAUGCAAAAUAAGCAUGCAGUUGCUGCAUCCAUAGCAGAGGAGGUGGAAGAAAUGGAUGUUAUUUGCGCCACUGAUUUAGGGCCAGGACUGAGAAAUGUUGGUGAAAACAAUUGCUUUAUCAAUGUGAUUGUACAGUCUCUCUGGCAUUUAAGAACAUUUAGAGGCAAGUUUUUGAGAAGAUCAACAUCUGCUCAUGCUCAUAUCAAAGAUCCCUGUAUUGUUUGCGAAUUACAUGGUAUUUCACUGCCCUAAGAGAAGCUAAGGAAGGAGAUGAUGCUGUUUCUCCUACCACUUCAAGAAUUGCUUAGAGCAAAUGGCAAGAUGCAUGAUCAUCCGAAUGAGCUUUUGAAACACGAUAUAAGGGAAAAACAUCAGAAUAGUUGUGGCGGCUGUAGCAAACGAAAUAUUCCUCACUGCAUUCUUUCAACUCCUCCACGUGUUCACAAUAGUUGGGAGAGUCUUGAAGAGCCUGCACAUAAAAUAUCUGCAACAUUGGGAGCUCUAAGUACCAAGAUAGAUAUUGGUGUCAUCUACGAGGGUUUAGAUCCAGGAAACACACAUUAUCUUAUUUCAAUGGUUUGCUAUGGCCUAAAGCACUACAUCUGCCUUGUUUACAACCGUGCGAAAGAAAUUUGGAUUUUGUAUGACAAUGAUAAAGUGAAGGUUAUUGGUAGUUGGGAUGGUGUUCUUACCAUGUGUUCAAGAAAGCGUUUGCAACUCCAACUUCUAUUUUUUGAAGUGAAGGGAAGUGUCUCUGUAACUCCUUUGGAGGAAACCAAGGUGCCUGACAAUCCUUAGGAAGUAUGCAAGGCUGAAAGGAAAAGAUCUGGCAACCAUGGCAAGACCAAGCAAGGUAAGCAACCUUUUUUUAAAGCUAGGCUAUCCUGAAUAUCAUUCUAAUCUGUAAAAAAUUGAAAAAAUAAUAAAAUUGACACGGCACCUGCAAAUCUCCAGGACUUGUUUGGAUGGUUAUAUUCCCAAAGAAAUAUGUAGCAGUAAAAAGGGCUUUAUGCCUACUUAUAAAGUGACUUAUUAUGUAUUACAUACAAUUAUUGUUGUUUACCAUCUAAGGUUGUUUUAAUGCCAUCAUACAUCUUAAGAUAUAGAUAAAAUGGGGCAUAUACAGGCAAGUGCUUGUGUUUUAGAUUGUUGCUCUUUCAUGGGUGGGGAAAUUUGAUCCGACGAAAGAUUCUCCGAAUAACUAACAAAAAAAAUAAAAUAAAAUUGAUGAAGUAAAAUAAAACCAAAUAUUGAAUUCAGUGUUCCAUAUUCCUCUUGAAACAUAAAUGAGCAAAUAUAAGCUUGCCACAUUGAGAGGUAGCUAAAGGAGAUUCCGGACUUCUAAAAUUUAUAUUUAUUUCAUUUACUCAAGUAGUUGAAAACUAUGGAAGGGCCUUUGCUCGGAUUUCUGGUUUGUCCACAAUUUUUAGAGACAUCAUGAGCACCAUAAUGAGCCAAAGGGUGCUUCAAAGCUAUCCUUCGGGUUGAUUUGAUAUUUAGAAAUAUUGAUUUAACAGACACAUUAGGGCGAGAUUGUUAAAUUUUGGUUUAAUUUUAUAUUUUAUUACUGUUUGUUUCUAUUCAAUAUUCAAAUUUGUAGUUUAAAUUCUAUAAAAUUUGUGGGUUAUUGUUGGUUAGUGAUUUUUUAACUUCUAUUAUUUGUUGUAAAAUUUGUUAUUUGUAGCAAUAUACUUUAUAAUUUUUUAUUUUUAUUUUUCUGUAGAUAUGGAUUUGGGUGAUGAACACCUAUUUAGUCAUCUUCUUCAGAGACAGUCUAAUUGUGUUAUUUAUGUACUUAAGGGUGACUAGGGAAACCAUUCUUAUGGUUAUACCUCCAUGCAAAAUUGUGUUAAGAAUUAAACUUUUAAAAUUAGCAUACUAGAUUAUAAAACUGAUGAGGAGGCGUUUGAAGGGUUUAUCUGCUUGAAGUCUUGCAAAAGGUUAUAUGUCUUCGAUGGUUUCACGUUAGAUAACAACAUUUUAUUAGUAGAAAGAUUAGGGUCCAACUUUGCAACGUUCUUUCAAGAUGAAUACACAACAUUUGUGAGAAAGGGUUAGCCUCACACUCAUUGGUUUGAGUUUAUCAAGGACAAAUUUUGUGCAAUUUUCAAGUAUUGUUUUUCUUCUAAUUAUUAUGUUUAAUAAUAAUAUUUUGUAAUUAUUAUUUUUUGCAAUUAGUUAUAAUUGUUGUUAUGUAGGGAUAUGAUCAACGGAUUAUGGCGCAUAUAUUCAUUACAAUUUGUGAGUGAAGUGAGGGUUGGCGGUACUUUAGUAAUUAAUAAUUGUGCGAAACUUUUUUUUAUUCAUAAUCCUAACUCUGGUAUGUUUAGCAAGUUAUAUUUUUUUUUAUUUUUUAUUUUAGACUCUUUAUUUUAAUCAUUUCUUUUCUUGUUAUUGAAGUUUUUUUUGUUUUAUAGAAAUAAUCAUUGAAAUUUUAUUGAAGUCGUGUGGCAAUUGGGAUGGUUCUAUAAAGAUGUUGGAAAAUUGUUUUCAUCAACUAGCUGUACCAGGUAAUUUGUAUUGCUUUGUGUAUUUUUUGUGUGAUGAAAAUUAUUUGUAAGUUUUAUUUUAAUUUUUUCAAAGCUUUGUAUUUAUUUAUAUAUUUUUCAAUUCACUUUUUUUUUUUUUUUUUUUGUAGGAAUAAUGUUGAUUUGGAUUGGUUACUUGAUAAUUUUUUUUUCUAGAAUACAAUGGAGAAAUCUAAGUUCAUUCAUAAGUUGGGUAACAUUUUACACGUGCAGCAAAGGUUAGAUACAUAUACAUGAAUAUCUUUGUGAUACUUAGUAUUAUUGCACAUUCUGGCUGGGAGAGUUUGGUUCCAAAGUCAUGGCCGACUUGGGAUGUCUAUUGUCGGUUUGAAGCAGAUAUGAGAAAGGAUAGCAGCAACAAUAGUAAUCGGCUUCAAAGUGUUAGACGUAAAAUAGUAAGAUACAUGUGCAACUUGUUUGAACAUGCAAAUUUGAGCUUCCCUGUACUUGUAUAUUUUUUUUUUUGUCCUGUGAUUUGACUUUAUUAAAAAUUAAUUCUUCUUUUAAAUUUUUGAUAGAUGCGUGUGAAAAAGGAGAGAAUUGUUCAGGGGGAAGACAAUAUUAUGUUUGUGUAUGGAGGGACUGCUCUCCUCUUACGCCGUGCUUGCAACCACCCUUUUUUUUUAUCUCCUGUCAAAUAGCCCCCACCAACACUAAAUGAUAUUUAGUGUGGUUGUUUUUUGUUUUGAAAUACUAAAUGGUAUUUGGUUAUUUAUCCAAAAAACAAAAAAAAAAAAUUCAAAAACAAAAAACAACCAGAGACACAAUACCGUUCAGUAUUGCUGGGGCAUAAAAAAGUGGUGGUUGCAUACACGGCGCAAGAGGCCAGCAGUCCCUCCAAACAUAUCAUCUUCCAUCUAAACAAUUCUCUCCAUUAUCACACGCAUCUAUCAAAAAUUUAAAAGAAGAAUUAAUUUUUAAUAAAGUCAGAUCAGAGGACAAAUAAAUAAAUAAAGGCAAAAAUUAUAUAUACAUACAUGUACAGGGAAGUUGGAAUUUGCAUGUUCAAACAAGUUGCGUAUGUAUCUUACUAUUUUAUGGCUGACACUUUGAAGCCGAUUACUAUUGUUGUCGCUGCUGUCCUUCUUCAUAUCUGCUUCAAAUCGAUAAUAGACAUCCCAAGCCGGCCCUGACUUUGGAACCAAACUCUCCCAGCCAGAAGGUACAAUAAUACCAUAAGUAACACGAAGAUAUUCAUGUAUAUACUCGUCAAGAUACGAGGUAUCUAACCUUUGCUGUACGUGUAAAAUAUUAUCCAACUUACGAAUGAACUUAUAUUUUUCUAUUGUAUUCUAAAAAAAUAAUUAUCAAGUAGGCAAUGCAAAUCAACAUUAUUCCUACAAAACGAAGAAAAAAAAAUAGUGCAUUGAAAAAUAUAUAAAUAAAAAAAAGCUUUAAAAAAAUAAAAAUAAAACUUACAAAUAAUUUUCAUCACACAGAGAAUACACAAAGCAGUACAAAUCAACUGGUACAGCUCGAUGAAAACAAUUUUCCAGUAUCUUUAUAAAACCAUCCCAAUUACCACACGGCUUUAAUAAAAUUUCAAUGAUUAUUUCCCCUAGUUCAACAAGCUCCUCAAAUACUUCGUAAAAUAAAAAAAAAAAAAAUUGUAAAACAAAAAAAACUUCAAUACCAAGGAAAGAAAUUAUUAAAAUAAAAAAUCUAAAAUAAAAAAAUAUAACUUGCUAAACAUACCAGAUUUAAGAUUAUGAAUAAAAAAAAAGUUUCGCACAAUUAUUGAAUACUGAAGUACUGCCAGCCCUCAUUCUACUCACAAAUUGUAAUGAAUAUAUGUGCCGUAAUCCGUUAAAUAUAUCCCUACAUAACAACAAUUAUAACUAAUUGCAAAAUAUAAUAAUUACAAAGUAUUAUUAUUAAACAUAAUAAUUAGAAGAAAAACAAUACCUGAAAAUUGCACAAAAAUUGUCCUUGAUAAACUCAAACCGAGUGUAAGGCUUACCCUUUCUUACAAAUGUUGUGUAUUCAUCUUGAAAGUACGUUGCCAAGUCGGGCCCUAAUCUUUUUACUAAUAAAAUGUUGUUAUCCAACAUGAAACUAUCGAAGACAUAUAACCCUUUGCAAGACUUCAAGCAGAUAAACCCUUCAAACGCCUCCUCAUUAGUUUUGUAAUCCAGAGUGCUAAUCCUAACACAGUUUUGCAUGGAGGUAUAACCGUAGGAAUGGUUUCCCAAGUCACCCUCAAGUACAUAAAUAACACUAUUAGACUGUCUCUGAAGAGAUGACUGAAUGGGUGUUCAUCACCCAAAUCCAUAUCUACAGAAAAAUAAAAAU